CACAAAAGGGUCUUCUAGAGUUUCCAAGUCUCAAGAGGAAGCCAGACAAGAAAUGCCACUUAGAGGUCACCACUGAUGCCACGGGAGCAAAUGGAGGCCCCUAACCCAGGCUGGGUACAGGCGAGAUCAGGCCCAUCCUGGGAACGAGAAGGUGAGUUAGAAAGAAAAGAACGCAAACGAAUGAAUCCGACCUCUGAACCUACGGAGCUCCUCCUACACAUCUGGCAUUGAGACAUGAAGACAGUGCACGGGGCGCCGAGCAUGGGCAGGUUGGGCAGCAGGCCUGUGCUGGAAAGGUCCCAGCUCCGUCCCUCUGAGCUGCGAGAGGCUGGCCAAUGACCUCACCUCUUGGAGCUUCAGUUUCCUCAUCUACCAAAGGGGAUAAUAGGAUGCCACCCUCACUGGACUAGUGUGAACGUUAGAUGGGACCGCACACGUGUUAGCAGUGUAAGUGGCAGCCGUGCCCUGGAUGUCAGUGCCCCCUGCUUGUCUAUCUGCAGCAGGAAUGUGAGAGAAAGCACAGGACUGAGAGAAUGUCACGCCUGAAGAGAUGCUGUCGGAUUGGAGCAGGCCUUCAGAGCCGUGGGAUUCCAAAGAAGAGGGCAUGGCCACACCUGGGCGGAGAACCAGGCUCGCAGGGAUGAGCUCGCACAGGCUGACUGAGCGCCCAGUCUCCCUUCUCGGGCUAGAUGUCCUUCCUUUGGGCACCCAGAAUUCCUGGCACUUCCUUCCCAAAGCACAACACCCUGAACUGGAAUUGUCACUUUGUGCUUCCAUUUCCCCACCAAACCAUGCGGGUGGGGGUCGUGUUCCUCCAUCGUCGUAUCCCUACCACCCAGUGCAGGACCUAUGACACGGUGAACACUGAAUAAAUGCACUUGGGGGAGGACUGGAGGCGGAGGGCAGAAAGCCAAACCGAAAGUCCUAUUUGAGCCCAAGCAAAAUCCUGGGAAGGUUUUCUGAGCCACCAAAGACCAAAAGGCUCCUGGUCCCAUAGAGCGUUUCAGCCCAAGAGGAGACGGGACCAAAUGACAUUGGAGUUUGGUUCUCCAGUCUCAGCAGCUCCAGGCCUGAGGGUGCCAGGCAGUUUGGCCUGGCUUGGCCUUCUUUGAGCCAAACAAGUGCAGCUUCAUGGAGCGUGUUCGCUGUCCCCACCCCCUUCCUUCGUCCCAGAGCCUGCGGCCUGAAGCCUGGUGUUCAUCUGCCCCAGGGGAAUGUCAGGUCUGCAGAGCAGCACGCUUUCCCUCACGUAAGCACAUGCACGCCUUCUGAUUAGACUCAGCCCACGUGUGAGGCCACGACCCCCACGCCAUCUGCCUUCCCUUACAUACGGGAGCCAAAGGGGCCUUUUUGGUGCCCAUUCCUUUCUGCUCCAGGCCGUGGAGAACGACUCUGAUUUUCAGGACUUUAUGGCUCCUCAUCCCAUACUCAGACCCCAUUCACCUGCUUCAUGGGGAGCUGGAAGGAGGAAUUACUGCUCCUGGGAGCUUGGAAGGUCAGCAUGCUGUGUGGCAACAGAGGUG
RNAcentral lists this long non-coding RNA (1523 nucleotides) under Equus caballus (horse). RNAcentral's name for it is "lncRNA (ENSECAG00000032414.2)". Lineage: Eukaryota; Metazoa; Chordata; Mammalia; Perissodactyla; Equidae. The record is from RNAcentral.